This 6437-nucleotide long non-coding RNA is filed under the name Sus scrofa (pig). Its description in RNAcentral is "lncRNA (ENSSSCG00025033671.1)". The record is from RNAcentral. Lineage: Eukaryota; Metazoa; Chordata; Mammalia; Artiodactyla; Suidae.
AAUCAGCACUCAGGUGGAACUUAUAAGGGUCUCCUGGUCCUUGGAUAUUUUCCUGGGUCUCAUGCUAGGAAAGUCUGCAGCAGGAAGAUGCUGAAGACCUGAGAAGUUCAUGCAAUGGAAAGAAGUGGGCCUUUCAGUCAAAGAUGUGGAAUUAAAUUCUGAUGUGACAAACCAAGAUGGGCAAAUGAUUUUAGGUCCUUGAAUCUCAGGGUCCUCCUUUAUAAAACAGCCUGACCUCAUCAAGCUGAUAUUACGGGCAGCAUGAGAUAAUGUAUGCACUGCCGUUUGGAAUGAAAAAUGCUACGGCUGUAUGGAAAAUAAUUUAGAAGAUCUUCAAAAUUUAAAAUUACCACAUGAUUCAGAAAUUCCACCUUGAGGUGUGCAUCAAAAGACUUAAAAACAGGUAUGUAAACAAACACGUGUAAAUGCGCAUUCAUAGCAGUGCUAUUUACAGUAGCCACAAGGUGAAAAGAGCCCAAAUGUCCAUCAAUGGCUGAAUGGAUAAACAAACUGUGAGAUCUAUCGACAAUGGAAUGUUACUCAGCAAAAAAAACUGAAACACUGGUAUAUGCUACAACAUGGAUCUACCUCAAAAACAUAUUCAAGAAAGAAGACAUACACAAAAGGUCACACACUGUAGGUAUAUGAAUACCCUGAUAAUUAGGGUAAAAGCAGAUAUGUGGGUACCAAAGCCUGGGAGGAGGGGGGGGCAGGAGAAAAGCUUAACGGGCAUAGAGUUUCCUUUGGGGGUGAUGGAAAUAUUUUGAAACUAAAUAGACGUGAUUGUAUACAUAGUGAAAUGUACUAAAUGCCACGGAAAUGUUUACCUUUAAAGUGGUAAAUUUUAGGUUUGUGAAUUUCACUUCAGUUACAAAACAACACCAAAAAACACAUGAGAUAGAGUGUACGAAAAUAUUCCAUUUUUAGGAGUUUCCCAUCAUGGCUCAGUGGUAAUGAACCCAACUAGGAUCCAUGCGGAUACAACUUCCAUCCCUGGCCUUGCUCAGUGCAUUAAGGAUCUGGCGUUGCCGUGAGUUGUGGUGUUGGUCAUAGAUGCAGCUCGGCUCUGGCAUCGCUGUGGCUGUGAUGUAGGCCAGCAGCUGUAGCUCUAAAUCAACCCCUAGCCUGGGAACUUCCAUAUGUUUUGAGUAAGGCCCUAAAAAGCAAAAAUAAAUAAAUGAAUACUCCGUUUUUUUCAGUGACUUACCCGGGGUCACUGAGGAUUGGAAUUUGUACAGGUAAAGGUCUAUGUAGAAAGGUCAAUAGGAAUAUGAAAUUUCUAAGGACUCUUUCUUAAGAGAGAAAGACAUUUACUUUGAAGGGAGUGCCCCCCCCAAACGUCUCCUCCUCUCUCAAUUCUCAGCCAGAAUCAGGUCACACGAGAAUUCCUAAACCAGUCACCCCAGGAGGAGGGAGUAUCCUUAGACCCAUCAAGCCCCCUUGGAGCUGAGGAUGGGUCAGGUUCCUUGAGACCAUGGCUUUGUGUGUGUGUGUGUGUGUGUGUGUGUGUGUAAAUAUUGUUGGAGGAGAACCAGCUUUCUCUAGGACAAGAUAGAGGGACAAGGACCACACUUGGCAACCCAGUAACACCCCUGCCAAUUAGAUAUUAAAAAAGCUGGUUUCAUGGUCACAUGGAGAAGCCCAUACUUCUGCCUAAACAUGCGUUAUGGGGUUAUGGGAAGUGCUGAGCUUCCUCGCAGAGAUUCAGAAAUAGUUUACAACUCUAAAGGACAAUCAAGAAGGAGAUUAAAAACUGCUGCAAAAUAUUGCCUACGAUGUCUAUAAAAUACAGGGACUGCUUUGAGAAACCCUCUCUUUUGGAGACACUACUGCAAGAGAUAUUACAGUGAGAAGUGACUUAGGGAGGCGGUGGUUGAGAGAUGGAUGGGGACCCUGGAGAGAAAGACCUGGAUGGAGUUUUGGCUUAAAACUCCCAGUAAGCCUGGAUUUAUCCUGCAUGAACAGAAGCCUCCCUAAGCUUCAUUUUAAUCCACAAAACAGGGAAGCAAUACCCUUCCUCACAGAGACCGUGAAAGAAUUAUGCUCAGGGGUGGAGAAAUGCUUCAUAAUUUACGGGUUCUAUGGAGAGCUCUGACCGAAUUCCCUAGAAGUCAUGCUGGAUGGACAUGACUUACACAUGGCUUCUUACCUUAAAAUUAAUGUAUAAUGUAUCUUAAUAUAUCGGAGGGUUUGAAACAGUUCUGCACAUUGAAUGAAUGAAUGAAGCAUGAAAAUGCCUCACUGCCUCUACAUCCAGUAAAAUUGGAAGCAGAGAUUCCGUUUGGCCAGUGAGCUCCUCGAAAUCACCCAGUGGAGCUGUCACCACGUGGUUCCCAGGCCUGGCUCGUCAGCACACUGCCAGCCUUACUUAGAAAUCUCCAGCUCAUACACCACAGGCCUGGCUUAAAACUAUUUUUUUUUUUUUUGCCUUUUAUGGCCACACCUGAGGCAUAUGGAAGUUCCCAGACUAGGAGCCGAAUUGGACCUGCAGCUGCCAGCCUACAUACACCACAGCUCAUGGCAACACCAGAUUCUUAACCCACUGAGCAAGGCCAGGGAUCGAACCCACAUCCUUAUGGAUACUAAUUGGAUUCUUAACCCAUUGAGCCACAGUGGAAACUUCCUUAAAACUAUUCUUUACGAUACUCAUUUCUAAGCUCCUUAUGUCAGGACUGGAUACAUAAUUUGGGGGACCCAGUGAAAAAUCAAGGCUCCUUAUUUAAAAAUUAUUAACAAUCUCAAGGCGGUGACAGAAGAGCAUUAACCCCAGUUGGGGGCUUUCUAAGCACAAGACCUUAUUUGACUGUUGAGGUCACAUGGUCAUGAACCUAGCUCUACUUAAUACCUGCAAGUGAGAAAUGCAAAUGUCUUAGCACAGAAUACAGGGCCCUUCAGAAUAAGACCUUCUAGUUUACAUCCUAGGUUUCUCAGAGCCCUAAUUAGCAUUUGUCUCAUGCCAUUUAAAUCACUUUUUUUUUUUAAACACCUUGGUCUCUUGCUAUAAGAAGGUGAGGUUUUUGAUUUCAGGAAAUAUGUCUUACCUCCUUCCGUGCCUCUAGCUCCCAGCCUGGUGUCUGGCAUACCAUGGUUCCUAUGUGAACCUGGAAGUGGCCACCUGCCUAGAUCAUGGCAAUGUCCAACCUUUCCUUCUCUCAUGUUGACUCUGGCUGGGACCUCUGAAUCUUAUCCCAUGUCUGAUCAGUAUUUGGCUUUGACACCUGACCUUGCCCCUGGUUGCUAUGACACUAGGUCUUUUCUUGGACUCCUAGUACCUAAUUCCUCUCCCUUCCUUUGGCCUUUAGCCUCAGGGAUAGUUCCAGAGCUCAGAUCCAACUCUGAAGCAGCACGACCUAGGGUGAAUCUCCUCUAAAGCAGAUCCCAAGACAAGGAUUUGGGCCAAGCAUUUUAUUUGCAUGUUGAGGGAGUGGGAAGUUGAGAAAGUGGAGGGUGCAACGCUAAGAGGUACCUUCAUUAGUAGGUUCCAUUAUGGGCAAACUGGGCUCAGGCUGCUAGGGACCAUCUGAAAAGUUGUGCUAAACCCAGCCCUAAGUGAUCCUACCGGAAGGAAGAAGCCAGAGUAUUUAUUCACAACUGUUGCCUCUUCUUGAUCUACGGUCACUCUGGGAACUUUCCAGAAUUUGUAGUCUACUUUGGAUGUGAGUGGGAGUGCCCAUGGCAGAGGAUGCUCUUAGCCAGGAGAUGCAGGAAACCGCCGUCAUGGCUGCAGGUGCCCUAGGAAUAGGUGUGUGUGUGUGGUGGCGGGAGGGCAGAGAACAAGUAGAUCAUUGAUGACGUCCAUUACCCAGAGAAAUGGUGUCAAACAAUCCUUGGCAGAAAUGUUCCUAGAUGGUCAUGAACUCCAGCAAGCACAUCAGGGGUAGAAACUACAGCAGGUAGUUUCUUAAGGCUGCUGUUACAAAAUCCCAUCGGCUGAGGAUAUAUGGUCUCACAGUUUUGGAGGUCACAAGUCCAUAUCCAAGGCAUCAGCAGGGCCAGGCUCCCUCUGAAGUCUCCAGGGAAAGAUCUGUUCCAGGCCUCUCAACUUGUUCCUUGGCGUAUAAAUGGCCGUCUUCUCCCUGUGCGUCUUUUCAUUGCUUUUCCUCCAUCAGUGUAUAUCUGUGUCCAAUUUUAUAAGGACGCCAGUGAUAUUGGAUUAGGCCCCAUUCCAAUGACCUCAUUUUUAAAAUUAAUGAAUUAAUCAAUUCAUUAAUUUUAAGGACUGCACCCAAAGCAUAUGGAAAUUCCCAGGCUAGGGGUUGAAUAGGAGCUGCAGCUGCCCCACAGCAAUGCCAGAUCAUAGCUACAUCUGUGAUGUAGCUCACAGCAACGCCAGGUCCUUAACCUACUGAGCAAGGCCAGGGACCAAACUUGCAUCCUCCUGGAUGGAUACUAGUCAGGUUCAUUACCCUUGGGCCACUAUGGGAACUUCCCAAUGACCUCAUUUUAACUUGAUGACCUCUGUAAAGCCUUACCCCCCUCCCCAAAUGAGGGUCACAUUCUGUGGUAUGGGGGAUUAGGACUUCAACGUAUUUUUUAGGGGACAUAAUUCAAUCCAUAACAUGACCGAAUGAAUAGAAAGCACCACCCAUGUCCCCCUCGGUCUCCCUAAGUGGGCAAAGACCUAUCAAGGAAAGGUCCCCCUCGUCUAUCGAGGUGUUUUAUUACAACAGUUCCCCCAAACAACAGCCGCUGGAAUUUUUCCCUUCACUUGCUCACACUAGAGAGAAAAGUGGGCUAAACUCUUUCAGCCGGAAGACAGACUCUCACCAAAGUGAUGUGCAUAUGUGAAUGGAAGAUGAAAGGCAGCUUGGCUUGCAGAAACUGUGGGGUGAUUCUGUCCAAAGGGAAGAUUCACUGGAAGCCCUUUUUGGUGAAGACUGACUAUUGUGGGAGGCACACAGCAAACUAGAAGGAAAUCCACAGGGGAAUCUUUGUUAAAAACUAAAAUAAUUAAAGCCUUCAAAAAUAGGACCUAGAGAAAAAGCUGAAAGGAAUUUGACAAUUUCGCCUGCAGAAAAGCAGACUGAGGUGUGGCUUCCCACUUCCCCCGCAUUUGAAAUGUGGCCAAAGGCACUCCUACUCCUGCUGAGAAGAGAGUGAUGGGAAAAAGGCUUAGACUGAAGAAGGGGAGAUUUGGAUGGGAUAAACUGAGGAGUGUUCUAGAAUUAGCCUAUGUGGUGUCAACACUUCAGGAUUGGUUCACUGACAGCAAAGACGUUACUUUUGCACAGACUUAAAGAUUUAUGCAGAUUCCUUUUACAUGCAUCACUUCAUUUCAUUCUUCCCACGUGCCUUUGCGGGGACAGGGGAGGUAACAUUGUAUAAACUGUAAAAGGCCGUGCACAUGAUUUGCACAAGUUGCCCAUAAAAUGCUUAGUUUUGCCAGUCCAGGGUGCCUUGACUUCAGCGCUAUUGACAUUUGGGGCCUGAUGAUUCUCUCUGGUGAAAGGCUGUCCUAAAUGUCUGUCCCACAAAAUAUCUCCAAUCAUUGUCAAAUGUCCCUUGGAGACAGAAAUCACCCACCGUUGACAACCACUGAUUUGUCUAAGUCUCCCAAAUUCAGUUCAAGCCCUUUCAUUAUUUUUGUGCCCCCUCUGGGGAGAUAAGAAGUAUUAUUGCUCAGUUUUUAAAUAUUUGUGAAAGAUGAAAAGACAUCAUCACUGAUUUCCAGGACCUUCCAGACGACUGGGAAGUGACCUUGCCCCUUCCUCACUGUGGGAAGGUGGCUGUUAUGUGAUGCCCCCAAAGGGUGCAGAGGUCACAGGAGCCAUUCAGUCUGCCUAGCAUUUUAAGGAGGAAACAUUUCACAAAAAAGGAAGGAUUGAAACAAAGUCGUUAAAGGCUGAAUAGAGGUUAAUCUACUAGAUGUUGUCACAUGAUAUACAACUUUAUAUUCUAAAUCAGGGGUCAUCCCACGGGCCAUGGGUCAAAUCUGGUGUCUGUUUUUAUAAAUAAAGUUUUAUUGGAACACAGUUACAAUCAUUCAAGUAAUGUCUGCAGCUGCUUGCAUGAUACAACAUCAGAUUUGAAUGGUAGCACCAGACUCCACAGUGAUCACAGAGUUGAAAAUACUUUAUUAUCUGGCCCAGAGGAAAAAAACUUGCAGACCUCUGUCCAGGACCUGAAAUUAUGAAGGGGUCCUUAUUGGAUGUCUUUCUGCUGCCUCACUUACCAUUGCUUUAGGCAAGACUGUCUAGUGUGUACAUAGCACUGUGGCUUCUAAUUUCUUUCUUAGAAUGAUCUUUAAAAUAUUUAUUGUGAUCAUCAGUCCAACAAAUAGAAGUUCAGAUAAAAGAAUGAACUUGACAAAAUUAAAGAAUGAGUAGGCAAGUAAAUACAGGGUUCAAAUCCCCAGGUUUCUGAUUCAAAGGCUUUAAACUCUGUGAGUCUCAGUGUCUUCACUUAUUAAAAGCAAAUAAAGGUACCUACCUGUCUCA